AUACGUAGGGUGCAAGCGUUGUCCGGAAUUAUUGGGCGUAAAGCGCGCGCAGGUGGUUCCUUAAGUCUGAUGUGAAAGCCCCCGGCUCGACCGGGGAGGGUCAUUGGAAACUGGGGAACUUGAGUGCAGAAGAGGAUAGUGGAAUUCCAAGUGUAGCGGUGAAAUGCGUAGAGAUUUGGAGGAACACCAGUGGCGAAGGCGACUGUCUGGUCUGUAACUGACACUGAGGCGCGAAAGCGUGGGGAGCAAACAGGAUUAGAUACCCUGGUAGUCCACGCCGUAAACGAUGAGUGCUAAGUGUUGGGGGGUUUCCGCCCCUCAGUGCUGCAGCUAACGCAUUAAGCACUCCGCCUGGGGAGUACGGUCGCAAGACUGAAACUCAAAUGAAUUGACGGGG
This 397-nucleotide ribosomal RNA is filed under the name uncultured bacterium. Its description in RNAcentral is "partial 16S ribosomal RNA". It matches the Rfam family "Bacterial small subunit ribosomal RNA", at positions 523 to 918 of the family's 1533-position model. The record is from RNAcentral.